AACGAACGCUGGCGGCAGGCCUAAAACAUGCAAGUUGAACGGUUGUAGCAAUACAACGAGUAGCGGACGGGUGAGUAAUGUAUGGGAACAUGUCCUUUAGUGGGGAAUAGCUUCUGGAAACGGGAGGUAAUACCGCAUAAGACCUGAGGGUGAAAGCAUUUAUGCGCUAAAGGGUUGGCCCAUAUCAGAUUAGCUAGUUGGUUAGGUAAAAGCUGACCAAGGCGACGAUCUGUAGCUGGUUUGAGAGGAUGAUCAGCCACAUUGGGACUGAGACACGGCCCAAACUCCUACGGGAGGCAGCAGUUAGGAAUAUUGGACAAUGGGGGCAACCCUGAUCCAGCCAUGCCGCGUGAGUGAAGAAGGCC
Molecule: ribosomal RNA, 365 nt
Filed under: uncultured bacterium
Lineage: Bacteria
Description: bacterial SSU rRNA
Rfam family: Bacterial small subunit ribosomal RNA
Source: RNAcentral